Molecule: long non-coding RNA, 5777 nt
Organism: Vidua chalybeata
Lineage: Eukaryota; Metazoa; Chordata; Aves; Passeriformes; Viduidae
Exons: 2
Source: RefSeq, a predicted model, not a curated record
AGCAGCUAAACAUGCUCAGAUCAGUGUCUUGUGGCCAGCAGAGCAGGGGCUUGUGGGGCCAGCAGUAGCCUCCUGCCCAGAAGUCCUGCAUUUGUUCACAGCAGCAGCUCCUCUUAAGCUGCCUUGUGCUUCAGGGGAUCUGCCUGCUGAGGAUUUGCAGGACGUGGGCCUAAAAUAUUUUAUUUCAGGAAGUCAAGCAGUGGUUCCUGUCACCGAAACAGUUAAUCAGAAAGCACCAACUCUCUACUGCAACGUGUGUGUGCGUGCACAUGUUUUUGUUUUUUAGAGCCAGCAAGAUUUGCUUUGGUUUUUUUAAAGCAGAAAACACCAAAAAAGUUGGCUGUGGUUUCAGCUGCUAUCGCUCGAGAUUUGUACUGCUGACUACCAAUCCUAAAAGAGUUAACCUGGUAAGUAUGACUCAGAAGCAGAGAAGGAGAUGCGAGGCUGAGAGCCGGGGAGGAAGCGCAGAAACAGAGGUGAGGAACAGAAUAAUUGCCAAAAAAAGGUGCAGAGUCCAGGAGCGACGCUCCCUCCGGUCUGCCUGGCCCUGGCACCGCUGGCACGGGCUCCCUGGAAAGCUGCAGUUCCGCUCUUAUAACACAAGGAGCAGGCUGGAGAAUUUAGAGCUGCGUCACAGAGCUCAGCGAGAGAGUGAGAGAGCAAGCUCCGUCGAUAGGUCUACCAGCAACAGCCCUGCUGCAGCAAGAGGGGAGAGAGGCAGCAAGAGAGGCAGAGAGGGCUCCAGGAAGAGAAGUGGCACCAACACCACGGACUGGGCUCCUGCCACCAUCCACUGCCAUUUGCACCUCGUACUCGGGCUCGCUUGGCGUAGGAGGCUUCGCCCAUUGACGAUGCUGGAGACCCGGCGCGCUUAAUCCCACGGGGAGGGAGAGUGGGCAGACACCGAAAGGGUUAACGGGAAGGAAAUUUCUGGAACCUUCUCUUCUGCGGCGCUCCAGAGCGAGCGGAGGGCUGAGGACUGCGCAGAUGGUGCACGGGCACGGCUCUUCGGUCCGGUUCGUCUCCCUCACCGCCCAGCAAUGAAGAUGGCAGCUCUGCCUGGAAGUGCUGAGGACACAGCCAGCCUAGAGCUUGGUCCUUCUGGCCGAGGAAGUCUCCCGAUUAUGCAGUGGAGUGGUAACUUUGCUUUCUCAUACAAGAGGGACCAUUAUUCCAUAGCCUUUCACCAUUCUGAGGCUUGCCCAAGUUUCAGGAUGUGCUAGCAGGAGUGUUUAAUCUCUGUUACUCACUGGCUGACAUCUCCAGCGUCAGGGUCGGUUGUUUAGCAACAACCGCUGGGCUCAGGCACCGCACGGCCGCCGUCCCCAUCGCCUGGGCUGCAGCCUGGCCUCUGCAGGGUGCUCUGGGAGACAGGGAGAGAGGGAAGGGCUGGAUUCACACCCCGAACGGAAUUUCGGAGGUUUGGUCGCGGAGGCCGCAGGCGCUGCGGAUUUUUCGCGACGCCGUCCUUUGCGCAGGGCCGCCAUUUCCAACAGCAGUGCGCUGCAGGGAUGGGGAGGGAAGAACCCAACAGACUGUACGUGCCACUCCCCACUUUCUUUCCCUCCUUCCCAUCUCCAUCUUUCCUCCUUCCCUGCCAGAUUCCAUAGGGAAUUUCAGCCUCUUACUGCAGUCAUCACAACCCCUCCUGACUCACUGAGCCUUCGCUGGCUGUAGCUGGCUCCCUCGGAGCAUCCUUGUCUCCCGCAGCGCCGGAUCCGCAGAGCAGGGGAACAACAGGAACAGCAGUGACAACGGUGGUCCCUGCAGCCAGACAGACAGGCAUAAACACACACACACACAUGAGAACAGCCCCAGGCAGCUGUGGAGGGGGUUCUGUACGGCCAGGAGCUGGACUAAGGCACGAUGCUGAGUUGUGUGGAUGAUGGGUGUUUUUCCGAGUGUUGGUUGCAUGGACAACUCUUUGCUGUUUUCCCCAUCACGGUUGUGGGGUGGAAAAGCCCUGACUUUGUAAAGCUAGUGCUGUUUCAUGGCUUUCAAGGAGGUGCCACUGGCUGCUGAGUGUGUUCAGCGCAGGGAUGUAUUUGGUUUAAUUCCUUUUGCCACCAUGUUUUGGCCACAGCGAUGGUUUAACUGUGCCUGAACGCAGGGAGAGUAAGGAGACAGAUAAAAGAGGAGUUAUUUCAAUGUUAAACUCCAGCUGUAAAUCUCAUUACCCAGGAAUUGAGGUUACUGUCAGCAGGUAAAUCUGUGGGACUGGCAGGAAACAAGGCUAAGAAGGGGACAUGGCAUAUUUCUGUAGGACAGCAGUGAUUGUGUGCACAGGGGUGGCACUGUCAUCGUGAGCCGUACCUGGGUAACCGUUCCGUGAUCGUUUUCUGCACAGUGCCGCAAAAGGAUUGGGGAAAGCUGUGAUUUCGCCCUCCCUCUGACACUCGCGUGUGUGACACUGUCUGAGCUGAUUCAUUUUCCUGUAUCUGGGUUUCCCUGCUCUGGGGAGUGGGGUUUGCUCUGCCUCGGCCUUGGUGCGGCAUCGUGACGCAGCGUUCGGUACCACGCCGACAAAACACACGCAAUUUUCUCGGGCGUUCUGACCGCUCGGGGACCGUGGGAUUUGGGGAAGGAAGGGCAGGAUUUCACAUGCCCACGAUAGAAAUUUAAAAGCAUUACCUCUUCUUGUCUGCUAGCAAAGGAAGGCUCUGUGAGGGACGAGGCAGCCAUGAUCUCCUCCUGCUCUUGUUUUGCCGAUGGUCAUGUUACAUCUGUGACGCAGACGAAUUUUGCUGUUGGUUCCUGUCGGUGCUUUAGGGAGUGGAGCUGAUGGGGGCAGAAGCUUGAAUAUGGUUAGAAACAUUAAUUUCAUACUGAUGUUAGAGUUUGAACCACACCCAAAGGGUCAGGGGUAUCAGAUCCACCUAGUGACCCCCCAAAGGGUGAAGGAAUUCAGAUGAGCCCCAGCACCCCUGGCCAUUUUGCUGCUCACAGAGCAGGCUCGGAGCCUGCAGCUCUGCUGCUGCUGCUGUUCAUUUCCAUGUUAUACAAAUACAGCAUUGGGCUCUGUGUCAGGAGCUUUCUGAUGCUGUGAGAAGCUUAAAGUCUACAAGCAAAUGUUUUUCUUUUCUUAUUUGGGAACAUUCAUUAAAACGUCUGAAUGCCAAGUGUUCUACCCUCUCUCCUCUGACAAAUCUCUCCCAGACCUAUUGAGAAAAUUCAGUGCUGCUGCGUAGGAUUUUUAAAACUUUAUCAUGGUGUUUUCUUACAGUCUAAUAUGGGUAUGGCUGGGGGGAACAGUAAGAUUUAAUUUGGUUAAAUAUCUGUAAUGCUGACGUUAACGGACAAGGAUGUAGGCAAGAGCUGUCCAUGUCCUCUUUAUCUCUGUAUAUAGAUAAUCCCAAGCCCAGGCUGUGAGGAAAAAAGGGAAUACUCUAUCCCAUUCCCACCCACCCAAACAAUUUCGGUGCAAAGGCAGCGGUAGAAAAGGCCAAGCUGGAAUGUCACAAAAUGGUUCCACCAGCACUCAGAGAUGCCAGUGCCGUUUAUCCUGGCACGGCUCCGAGAGCGGCACCGUGAGCCGCCUGCUGCAAGGUCAUUCCCCUGACUCAUGGUCAGCAACCAGUUGGUUCAGGAACUCCCAAUCUACUUCUCUUGCAACUGUGCCCAUGCCUGAACCUGGAGGGGAAGCUUGAAAAUUAAUAUUACUGCAGCAGUGGGGGCACUGAGCCCAAAACUAUAGCUCCAAAAAAAUCCUGUGUCUCUGAAAGAUUUUAAAAUCCGUAUCUGUAAUUUGUUUCUUGCUAGCUCCAAAAACUUUCCACUAGUUCCCUCAUCCCCUUUUCCCCCAAAACUUCCUCUGGACUGCUGGGAACCAGGAGUGACACGUAUUUAAGGGCACACACUCUGUUCUAGGAAGAAAAUCUCUGUGUACAUUUGCAUUUCUGUGGCUAUCAGGUGGACUGUGCAGCCUCCCCAGAGCCUGUCAAGCCAGGGGUGUCUCUCAGGUGCUUUCAGUGUCAGAUACCUCAGCUCAGGAGCUGUUUUGUCCCCUCCCAGGUUUCCCCAUUUUUCCCUGGUCUUCCUAUUUGCCCAUCUCACUCGUGUUUUCAGUUGUCUCAGGACAACACCAGCCAUGGAUAUGCUCAGGGCUGGCUCUGGUUGUCUCAGCCUCCCAGGCAGCAGAGGAGUGGUUAAUGCCUCUGAGCAAAAGAACUUAUUUAGUGCCCAAAGUUCAACUUGGGGGCAGGUUCUGUGGACAGAGAGGGACAGGGGGAGCAGUGCAGGCCAAGCAGCCUCCUGUCCUCCAAGCCCCCAGCCUGACCCUGCUCACGAUGAGCCUUCACCUUCCCCAUGGUUAUUCCCUGGUUUCCAAAGGGACAGAACCUGGCUGCCAAUCCCGAUGCCAGUGACGGCUCCUCGCCUACAGGGAGGCAGAUGUGAUGGCUCGUCUGCUAAAAACUGAGCCAACACACUGUGAUUCAGCCCUCCAGCUUUCCAAGGAAGAGCUAUUUCUGAGUGGAGCUCAUCUCUUCAGCUCCCCCCACAAACACUCACUGCACUCAGGAGUCCAACAGCAGCCACUGUUGCAUUUGGGUAUCCAGCUCAGAUGUUUCUUAAACGCUGACAAUGGCUCUUGGAUAUUUCAGGGAUGGAAUGAUGGAAACCCUGGGAACAGGGACAGACCAGCAGCUCGUGUGCCUGGGGGAGUCAGCCAGGAGUGUUUGGUCAGUGCUUUUCUCCAGCUGUUUUGCCAGGUCCUUGUACUGCAGGUAGUGUUAAACUAAAGGCUUGUUUUCAGAUGUCUGGUUUAAAGGCAGGUUAUACUUCAGUGAACAUCUGGCUGGGUUUGUUUCCCUAUGCUCCUCCCUGGCACAGGACAUUCUUUUGUCUCUAGAAUGACACAAAAGAAUAAUAUGGCUCCCUUUGCCAUUACCUGGAGGAGCUGGAGCGGUGGUGUUGGGGGAACACCAUGUUCCUGAACUGACUGUACAAAUCACAACAAUCAUCUCCCUGUGAGAGCUUUCAAGCCCUGCAAUCAGUACUUUACAUUCUAAAGUGAUGCUUAGGUACAGGAGUUAGGAAUAGAAAAUGGCCUUUCUGGUUGCAGCUGCUUAGGUGGAUCAUUUGAUUGAGUGGAGUGAGUUUUGCAAUGUGCUGCUCACUCAGGCUGUGUAGGGCUAAAUUUGAUGACUUUUCUUUCCUACUGCCCUCCCCUGACCUCUAGCCAUGUAAGUGCAGUGCUCUUCUUGAGUUUGCCCAGUUUCUCCUCACUGUUCCCUGGGAAAUCUGGAAUCCUCCAUAGGAUCCAGGGGUUCAGCAGUUCCUGUGCCCUCCAGACAGGCUCAGGGUUUGCCCAGGGACUCUCCUGAGAGCAAAGCUGGGGGAGAACUGGAUGACUCCAGGCAAGUCAAAGCAAUUUCAGAUGAGCAGAGGGGAUCACAAGCUGGGGAACUACAGCACUAAUAUCUAAGCGCACCUCUAAUGGUCACCAUGCUAAAACAGACACUGCAGAGUGCUCUUACAGAUUCCUCUUGACAGGAAUUGAAAUCAGUGACUCAAACCAAGCAGGCCUGACUGUCCCAUUGCUCACAGUCAAAAGGGACACAAAGCUCCACAGGCUUUUACCCCCAUCCUGUCCCAGUGUUCAGCCUGCCUUGGGUUUUGGGGGGUUUCAGACACAGAGUGUCUGGCUUUUAACUCCAUUUUUUGUAAGGCUGCAAGAGAAGGACUGAAGGAAUAGGCUACGUUCAAUUCAGGAUUGUAAUGUGGAGUUUUUAUUGUGGUCUUAAUAAAGGAAAAAAAUAUCUCCCUUAUGCUUUAAA